AAGUGAAAAAGUAAUUCUGAUAAACUGACAAAGAGCUAAUGGCCUGGGAAUAACAGAGAUUUCACUUACCCUGCCCUGCGAAAGCUCACAGGUCUUUGAUUGGCUGUACAGAAUAAUCAAUAUGGAAGAGCCACUGUAUUGUGAGCUGGAGCAGAAUGAUUUUGUAUGCUCCACAAUUAUUUCUGAAGUCUUUUUGGCAUCAACCUUGAGGAACCAAAGGAGAGAAAGUCUGAGAAGGAGAACCAAGCAAGGAAGAACUCACCCCCAGAAAUGCACCAAACAAGGGAGGGGGAGGAGAGAAAUAGAUGCUUUCUACAUUUGUUUGAAGCCAAACAAACACCAGUCAAAUCAAGUUAUGAUUUUCUUUUUUCUUUCUUCUAUCUUUUUUUAAAGUGAAUUAAUAAAAUCAGCU
Molecule: long non-coding RNA, 412 nt
Organism: Acipenser ruthenus (sterlet)
Lineage: Eukaryota; Metazoa; Chordata; Actinopteri; Acipenseriformes; Acipenseridae
Exons: 3
Source: RefSeq, a predicted model, not a curated record